RNAcentral lists this long non-coding RNA (943 nucleotides) under Phasianus colchicus (ring-necked pheasant). Its description in RNAcentral is "lncRNA (ENSPCLG00000006400.1)". Lineage: Eukaryota; Metazoa; Chordata; Aves; Galliformes; Phasianidae. The record is from RNAcentral.
GGGUGAUGGUGGGAUAAAAAUCCCACGAUCCCAGAGCCAUCACAGAGCCUGGAGUGCUGUAGGGCUGUCAGUGUGGGAAAACCCUCUGCCUGCUCAGCUGCUGUCACCGUGGAGUGCCUACUGCCUUGAGUUCCUGCCCAGGGAAGGGGCAGCUCUGUUCAUCUGAGCACUGUGCAUGGAUUUAUCUUUUCACGCUCUGGUUACAGAGCUUGGAGACCCUGCAGCCCCUGGCCACGUGCUACUGAGGUGUGGGCUAAUUGAGACAUGACAGCGUGGAGCAGCAAAUGCUGUGACCCACGGAGAGGAGGUCAGUGAGGCUGAAAUCUUCUGCACAGCUGUGUGCAAGAAGCAGCAAAGAGUUGCACUCCUUACCUCCACCAUCCGUACUGCUGAGAAGCAGCCUGGGGUUGCCUCCUCCUUGCAGCUCUUUCUGGCUGUGCCCAGAAUGGAGUUGAUCACGGCUGGGUGCUGUGGGGGUGCACCCUGUGUGCCUCCUGCAGUGCUGUGGGCAUGGCAGGAGCUCAGGAGGGUGCUGAGAACCUGGGGAUGUCUUUGUGAUCUGAGCAUUUAAUGCCAUUACUCGCAGGCUCUGAAUAGCUGGUUUAAACACCCUUGACCUUCUGCUGCAGAGCAGAUCAAAGCCGAUCUCUCUGCAGUGAUACUCUUUAUCUGAUUCAAAAGGGAAGCAUCCAAUGAAGGGCUUGUUUUGAAAACAUUCUUUCACGUUGUGCCCUAUUAAAUUGUUGACAUGUUGCCCUCUGGCUAUUUGGCAUUAGUUGCACUCCAAAGCUAUCUGCGGCAUUAAUCUAAUUUUGCCUUUCCUCAUCUUUGCUCCUUGAUCUCCAUAUUAUGCCACUUAACAAAUCUGCUUGGGGCCAAACUCGCUUCAAGACGGAGCUCAAUAAGUGGUGGGAGACUGCGGGCAGUGUGGGGCACAUGAGCU